Molecule: long non-coding RNA, 291 nt
Organism: Aquila chrysaetos chrysaetos
Lineage: Eukaryota; Metazoa; Chordata; Aves; Accipitriformes; Accipitridae
Exons: 3
Source: RefSeq, a predicted model, not a curated record
CGGAGCGAGGUGCUAAUCCGGUUGCCCACACAAAUACGACCGACGGCCGUCACCAUACAGCACGCCUCAAAGAUAGCCUCUCCGCCGGGGACUGUCAGUAGUGCCCCCAGAGACUUCACUGUCUCCGGACUGGAUGAGGAAGGCGAGGACGAAACUCUGCUCGGGACAUUCACCUAUGCCGUGCAGAAAGAGUCGACCCAGACCUUCCCUCUGCAGAAUGGCGACUCCAGAGCCUUCCGGUUUUUGAAGCUUGUCAUAGAGAGCAACUGGGGAAAACCAGGAUACACCUGC